This 253-nucleotide ribosomal RNA is filed under the name uncultured bacterium. RNAcentral's name for it is "partial 16S ribosomal RNA". It matches the Rfam family "Bacterial small subunit ribosomal RNA", at positions 524 to 776 of the family's 1533-position model. The record is from RNAcentral.
UACGGGGGGGGCAAGCGUUGUUCGGAAUUACUGGGCGUAAAGGGCUCGUAGGCGGCCAACUAAGUCAGACGUGAAAUCCCUCGGCUUAACCGGGGAACUGCAUCUGAUACUGGAUGGCUUGAGAUUGGGAGAGGGAUGCGGAAUUCCAGGUGUAGCGGUGGAAUGCGUAGAUAUCUGGAGGAACACCGGUGGCGAAGGCGGCAUCCUGGACCAACACUGACGCUGAGGAGCGAAAGCCAGGGGAGCAAACGGG